This 200-nucleotide ribosomal RNA is filed under the name uncultured bacterium. Its description in RNAcentral is "partial 16S ribosomal RNA". It matches the Rfam family "Bacterial small subunit ribosomal RNA", at positions 30 to 233 of the family's 1533-position model. The record is from RNAcentral.
AUUGAACGCUGGCGGCAUGCCUUACACAUGCAAGUCGAACGGCAGCGCGGGGCAACCUGGCGGCGAGUGGCGAACGGGUGAGUAAUAUAUCGGAACGUACCCUGGAGUGGGGAUAACGCAGCGAAAGCUGUGCUAAUACCGCAUAAGAUCUACGGAUGAAAGCAGGGGACCGCAAGGCCUUGCGCGAAUGGAGCGGCCGA